GGAUAUGCCUGCUUCUCGCUUACCCCCAGCGACGGUGACGCUAAAGCAGUUCAUGAGAAAGCAACAAGUGCUCCUUCUCUACAGAAGGAUUUUGCAAGCAAUUCGGCAAGCUCCAAAUGAUUCUUAUUGCAAAUACUUGAAGGACUGGGCAAGGGAGGAAUUCAAAAGGAACAAAAGUGCCACGAAGAGGAUAUGAUCCGGAUGAUGAUUACUCAAGGCAAUAUGCAGCUCAAGGAGUUAGAAAAAACACUUGCUUUAGCAAAACCUUAACUAUAACAUUUUGAAGGAUUUUAAACUUUCCAUGCAUUUUGUUGACUUUGGGCUUAACAAUGGGCAGCCGAGCCAAGUCUUGCUGUUUGUAUGUACAGU
RNA transcript from Propithecus coquereli (Coquerel's sifaka), 369 nucleotides. It is a transcript of the gene named LYR motif-containing protein 2 pseudogene, with no coding region annotated. The transcript has a single exon. Lineage: Eukaryota; Metazoa; Chordata; Mammalia; Primates; Indriidae. The record is from RefSeq and is a predicted model, not a curated record.